Long non-coding RNA from Carassius gibelio (silver crucian carp), 422 nucleotides. RefSeq lists it as uncharacterized. The record is from RefSeq and is a predicted model, not a curated record. The transcript has 3 exons. NCBI's taxonomy places the organism in Eukaryota, Metazoa, Chordata, Actinopteri, Cypriniformes, Cyprinidae.
GUGGAUGAGCACUCCAGCUGUCGCUAUGAUGGUCUACCUGAGAGAUGCCCACUGGAGCUGAGAAAGAUGGAGUGGGGUGAGCAACACACCAGCUGUCUCCGUCAUGGUCUGGCUCAGACAUAAUCAGUGGAGCUGAGAAAAGUGGAGUAGCUAGCCUAAUACAACUAAUUAUUUACCUUGGAAGCUGGGGAGACUCUCACACCAGGUCUGUUGUUGGUCUUCCGUGUCCCUUUGUUGCUGAUUGACACAUGCUGUUGACAAAUGGGGGAAUCAUUAAUGGCAUUCCAUAUGCUAAAAUUAAAAAUCACCUUUAAAAAUGGGUACACUGGUGAUUCUUAGAAUUUAUUCACACAAAAUAGGACCAAGCAGUGCAGCUGUAUGCUUCAACAAUUGGAUAGUUGUAACUUUUAUUAAACAAUGUA